GGACAAGAUGGCGGCGUUAGCGGGGGAUAGCGCUAUGGAGGUGGUGCCGGCGCUGGCCGAGGAGGCCGCAGCCGAGGCGGCGGGCCCCAGCUGCCUGGUGCAGCUGCCGGGCGAGGUGCUGGAGUACAUCCUCUGCAGCGGCUCCCUAACGGCGCUCGACAUCGGCCGCGUGUCCAGCACCUGCCGUCGCCUGCGCGAGGUGUGCCAGAGCAGCGGCCAGGUGUGGAAGGAGCAGUUCCGGGUGAGGUGGCCCUCUCUGAUGAAGCACUACAGUCCCACCGACUACGUCAAUUGGUUAGAGGAAUAUAAAGUUCGGCAGAAAGCUGGCUUAGAAGCCCGGAAGAUUGUAGCCUCCUUCUCCAAACGGUUCUUUUCAGAGCAUGUUCCUUGUAACGGCUUCAGUGACAUUGAAAACCUCGAGGGGCCAGAGAUCUUUUUUGAGGAUGAGCUGGUGUGCAUCCUAAACAUGGAAGGAAGGAAAGCUUUGACCUGGAAAUACUACGCAAAGAAAAUUCUUUACUACCUGCGGCAGCAGAAAAUCCUGAACAACCUCAAGGCUUUCCUGCAGCAGCCCGAUGAUUAUGAGUCGUAUCUGGAAGGUGCCGUUUACAUCGACCAGUACUGCAACCCUCUCUCCGACAUCAGCCUUAGAGACAUCCAGGCCCAGAUCCACAGCAUCGUGGAACUUGUAUGCAAAACCCUCCGUGGUAUCAACAGCCGCCACCCCAGCCUGACCUUCAGGGCAGGCGAGUCCUCCAUGAUAAUGGAGAUAGAACUCCAGAGCCAAGUUCUGGACGCCAUCAACUAUGUCCUGUAUGACCAGCUGAAGUUCAAAGGGAACCGCAUGGACUACUACAACGCCUUGAACCUGUACAUGCACCAGGUAUUGACCCGCAGAACAGGAAUCCCCAUCAGCAUGUCUCUGCUAUACCUGACCAUCGCCCGGCAGCUGGGUGUCCCGCUGGAGCCUGUCAACUUCCCAAGCCACUUCCUCCUGAGGUGGUGCCAAGGCGCAGAAGGGGCAACCCUGGACAUCUUUGACUACAUCUACAUAGAUGCUUUUGGGAAGGGCAAGCAGCUCACAGUGAAGGAGUGUGAGUACUUGAUUGGCCAGCACGUGACGGCGGCAUUAUACGGCGUGGUGAACGUGAAGAAAGUGCUGCAGCGGAUGGUGGGCAACCUGUUGAGCUUGGGCAAGAGGGAAGGCAUUGACCAGUCCUACCAGCUCCUCAGAGACUCUUUGGACCUGUACCUGGCAAUGUACCCGGACCAGGUGCAGCUCCUGCUCCUCCAGGCCAGACUCUACUUCCACCUGGGCAUCUGGCCAGAGAAGUCUUUCUGUCUUGUCUUGAAGGUGCUUGACAUCCUCCAGCACAUCCAGACCCUCGACCCCGGGCAGCACGGGGCGGUGGGCUACCUAGUGCAGCACACACUAGAGCACAUUGAGCGCAAGAAGGAGGAGGUAGGCGUGGAGGUGAAGCUGCGCUCUGAGGAGAAGCACAGAGAUGUCUGCUACUCCAUCGGGCUCGUUAUGAAGCAUAAGAGAUACGGCUACAACUGUGUGAUCUAUGGCUGGGACCCCACCUGCAUGAUGGGGCACGAGUGGAUUCGCAACAUGAACGUGCACAGCCUGCCUCAUGGCCACCAUCAGCCCUUCUACAAUGUUCUGGUGGAGGAUGGCUCCUGCAGAUAUGCAGCCCAAGAUGUUGGCUGUGAGACCACCUGGGCUCAAAAUCCUGCAGCUGGGAAGGAGUGCGUGUGUGGCAGGCGACACUGUUCUUCUACCUGGCUGUUGAUGGACACUUGUUCCCGCCUCAGCCGUUGGGACCAGCAUGCCAUGAGGCCCCUUGAAACCUCCGCAUCCUGGCACAGCACAGAGAUGGUUCUUGCUGACCUCAAGAACAGUUUACCUGCUGAGGGGCACUGUCCCUGAUGAAACCGGCUGGUGCUUCUGCCUCACACCUGUGUGACGCCUGCAGGAUCUGGCCCCUCCCGCAGCAUCCAUCCUCCUGCAGAAACGGACAUGCUGGAGAAGUGGCCUUACACUGAGCACGGACAAGGUUCCGGCAGCACUGUGCUCCUACCAAGGGGCUUAACCUUCCCCCCUCUGCAGCACACGCUGGUCCCCAGCCACAGUGAGUGACCUAGAUGUUGUCUGGAAAAUGUAGCCCAACACUGCUAGGUUCCAGAAUGUUCUUUUGUUCCAGGUAUGAAAUUCGAAAGAAACAGUUUAUAUUAUUCUUAAUGGUGGGGGGAGCUGCAACCCUGCCUUCCCUUGACAAGCAGGAGCCUUGGUGGUCACUGAGUCACAGGAUGAUGGGGCAGACUAAGACGCAAGGUAGCAUCGUCACUCACAAAUGCCAGAUGCCUGUGUGUGGUUUCCUCUGGGCCUCUGGGGUUUGGUUUUGUUUUAAUUAGUUCUUUUUUCCUUUCUUUUCUCCCUCUCUCCCUCCCCCCCAUUUCUCCUUUCCUCUGAGGGUUUUGUUUUGUUUUAAUUAGUCCUUUUCCUUCCUUCCUUCCUUCCUUCCUUCCUUCCUUCCUUCCUUCCUUCCUUCCUUCCUCCCUUCUUCCCUCUCUCCCUCCCUCCCCCCCUUUCCUUCUUUCCUCUGGGGGUUUUAUUUUGUCUUAAUUAGUUCCUUUUUUCUUUCUCUUUUUUCCUUUUUCAUCGCCAAGUGAUUUUGUGUCCUCAUUUGAUCUCGUGUUUAGCCCCAGGCUGACCUGGAAUUCCUGGUACCAUCCCUCAGUCUGCCAGGGGCUGGAGCCUGCGCACUCCUUUGCGAUCUCCGUCGGUGAGGGGCAAGACAGUUCCCAGCAACUUUGCCAACAAAGAACAACAAUCUUCAUCCCGUGAGAGCUUUGCGUGAUGCAGAGAUGCUGGACACACGAAACACAGGGAUCAGAAGCUGCCCAUCCGAGAUGCUCAGAGGCUGGCCUGUUGGCUCCUUGGAUUCUCAAGCUGGCAGCUUGGUUGCUUUCCUCUGCGAGCCGUCACCAUUCACUAAGACGCUCCAGGUAAGAGCCUCCUCUUGGAGCUGGGGUGAGCAUGGUGGUUCUGAGCAGGAGACCUGGUUCUUUAAUUCCCAGGUGAGCGCGGUGGGUCUGUGUGUUGGAGACGACCAUCCCAGGGUGAGCCUCACAGGCCAGGGCGGCACUGCACACAGGGGAAUAGAGACAAACACAUGGUUCCAGGGUGAGAGCACACGGGCACCACCAUGCAGUUCACCAGCACCAUCUGGGCAUGAGUCACCCCAGCGUGGCCCCCUGGCAAACCAAGGCCAGCAGCAUUACCCUCCCUGCCCCCCAUAGAGCUCUUUAAGCCCUGAAGCCCGGUGACCUAACAGGAGGAGGUCAUUGAGCUGGGAACACAGCCAGGAGCGAGCCAGUGCAUAAGAUGAACCAGGCACCCCGCCAGCUGGUCGCAUGGCCAGGGCUCUGCUGCUCCCUCCAGGGAACCCAGUUCCUCUGUGGGGAUGAGGGUGUGGGGGCAAGGUAAGUUUCCACAUCCUCUCCAGGGCCUCUGGAGAUGGCAAGCCUGGCUGGUGAGGUCACUGCUUCUCCUGUGGCUGCACAGCACAGAGGGAGGCCAGAGAGACAGGUGCCUGUGCACCUUCUCAUGGACAGGAUCCCUCUGCUCUGGAACCUCAAGGCUUCCAGAAGCACACCUGGGGAUAAUGUUGCUGCCAUUUUUAGGAGAAACAUUGUCAAAUCUCCAAGGAAGGCCUGGGCGCAUUGCAUGUCCCUGUGGUGCCUCUGAGGUUUGAAUCAGGGACCCACCAGGGUCUAAGGAAGCUUAGGAGCCAGCUGUGAGCUCAGCAGUCCUGUCUGAGGGCUGUGAGCACUUCCUCACCAGGAGGGAGUGAUGAGGAGAAACAUGGUGGUUCUCAUCCCACCUGAGACCAGGCCACGGAACUUCUUAGUUGUUGCCAGGAGCAAGGCCACCACAGACCCAGAGGAUGCUGAUCCCAGAGGAAGGCAGAGGACUUUGGGGUGGACACUGUACUGGGCGGGUGCUGUAGGCUGGUGGCUGCCUAGAGUAGGUGGAGCCUAGUGGUUCAGCUUGUCACCCAGCACUCGGGAGGCUGAGGCAGGAAGAUUAUUGCAAGUUCAACUGGGCGGUGGCGGCUCACGUCUUUAAUCCCAGCACUCAGGAGGUAGAGAGGCCAUCUCUGUGUGUUCGAAGCCAUUCUGGUCUACAAAGUGAGCGCUAUUGCUGGGCGAUGGUGGCGCACGCCUUUAAUCCCAGCACUCGGGAGGCAGAGGCAGGUGGAUCUCUGUGAGUUCGAGACCAGCCUGGUCUACAGAGCUAGUUCCAGGACAGGCUCCAAAGCUACAGAGAAACCCUGUCUCGAAAAAAAAAAAUUUAGCAAAGUGAGCGCUAUUAUAUAUAUGACAGCCAGCAGUAUUAUACAGAGAAACCCUGUAUGGACAGCAAAAUAAUAAUUAUUAUUAUAAUUAUUAUUAUUAUAAAGAUUGCAAAUUCAGCCUGACCACAUAGACUAUUAAUCUGGGCCGGGCACAGCCUGAUGGUAAAGUCACGCACAGACCAAGUUCAGCCACCAGCCCAAGAAAUAUAUUAGAUAUAUUAAAGAUAUUCUACACCAGGCAUGAGAGACAGUGCCUGUGAUCUCUACGUCCUGGAGGGAGGGGAGCUGAGGCAGGAGGAUUUCCACAAAUUCAAGGCCAGCCUGUGCUAAUGCUCUGCACGCUAAAAUACAAACACAACUGCGGUCCUGUUGCAUCCGUGCCCGUGAGGGGUUUGUUCUAGCCAGCUGGAUUUUAUGGGUGCCACCAAGCAUCUAACUGAAUCCCCUUGAGCGCAUUGAGUUCACUAACAGACACACUUGGUCCAGGAGCACUUUAGUUAUGGCGAGGCAGAGGGACGGUACAUUUACAAACUCAGGAGGAUUCUCUUGAAACGUUCCAAGUCCAAACUCCUGACACUGCAUUCUGGGUACUCCCCUUCCUCAACCAUAUACUUAAAAAUGCCUGCCUGCCUCGGUGGAUGAGAACGCUUGGGGACCAGCCUGGGGACCUGUGGGGACCAGCCUGGGGACCUGUGGGGACCAGCCUGGGGACCUGGGUUCCAGCCCACAGAAAAAGGUGGAAGGAGAGAAUCAACUCUGUGAAGUUGUGCUCUGACUUCCUAACACACUGUGGCAUGCACAUCCACACAUACACAAUAAUAUAACUAAAAAAUAAAUAAAUAAGUGAUUAGGUGUGGCACGUACCUAUAACCCCAGCUUACAGGGGGUGGAGGCAGGAGAUUCAGCAGAUCAAAACAUCUUCAGCUUCAGAGCGGGUUUGACGCCAGCCUGGGCUACACUGGGACCCCCUACUCCGAAUUCUUCUGUAAGAGAAGCUAGUACACCCUUCCACCUGGGCUCAAGGCGCCUCCUCAGACAGCAUGCCACGCUCUUGCCCCAGCACCCAGUGUCGUCGGCUUCCCAUGUGACACCUGUCCCUGACCUGACUUCAGGAUGUGGGUCACCCAAGGGUCACUCCAGGAGGCUGCCCCAGCCUGUAGAUCUGUGACAACUCAGCAGGCAGUUCUAGGUACCUAUGGCUGUCACACAGGUCUAGCCAAAGGGUAGCACCCUGGCCUUGUCCACAAAGCCGGAAGGGAAGAUGUGCCCAUUCACCACAGCCGCCUGCUGCAAACAUCUCACACUUCCCCAGGAGCCCCACGCACGCCCAAUUCGGGCAGUCAUAAAAACCCUGCAGAAGUCGGUAGACCUGCCUGCCACAGGCAGAGGUGUCUUCUGUAGACUGAGAACAGUGGUGGGGCCUGGCAGGGGCUACCUGCCUGCAACAUCAUCUGGGAGCAACAACCAGGCAUAUGACACCACCCUACACACACACGCACACACACGCACAUGCACACACUCACAGCUGUCCCCCGGAGGUUGCCUGUGCCUUCUUUGCAGAAGGCUGAGUAGAGACUGGUCAUCUCGGCAGGUGACAGGACAGAACAGAAGCCAUGGCAAUGCUGGCUGAAGCUGGAGGUUCUAAGUUGUCCCUCUCCAUGUCCUGCUAUUUGCUGGCCACCUUGUUCGGCCUAGACCCUAGGCUGCCCCCUGCCUGCAAACAGGAUGUGCUGGGUUCCUCACGCCUGAGAGUCUGGGACCUUGGCAUCCAGAGGAACCACUGCAGCUGGGGAUGUGUUCAAAACCCACCAGGGGACCGAUGAGAUGGCUUCAGCAGGUAAAGGCGUUUGCCGCAGAGCCUACAACCUGAGUUCAAUCCCCGGGACCCACAGACGGAGAAAGCCAAAUCCUGCAAAUGGUCCUCUGACCUCCACGUCUACACCGUGGCAUGUGUGCAUGUACAACUCACACACACACACACACACGUACACACGCUGCUCCAGCUGAAUUUGACUUUUGACCUGCAAUUUUCUAGCUAGUUGUGGAUUCAAAAUUGUUUUAAACAUUGUGUGUGUGUGUGUGUGUGAGACUGUGGCCUUGGCCACACAAGUGCCAUGGUGUAUGUGGAGGUCAGAGGACAAUUAAUGAGACUCGGUCUGACCUUCCGUGUGGCUCAUGGGCUCAAGCUCCAGUUGUCAGGCUUGGUGACUGAGGUAUCAAGCUGGACAUAUUGGACAUCUGGAGACUUAAGCUACUAAAGCCAUCCUCCUGUCCCCCGCCAUGCCUUAUUUAACAGGAAUAAAGGCACAGCUGAGCCGAAGUUUUAGCCACUCCUGGGAGCAGUGGUUAAUGGGCAACAGUAUCUGAACAUGCUUGGGGUCCAGCUCUUUUGGUGGGGGCUCUCAUCCCCUAGUCAUGGGGACCACCCACAAGUCCCCAGAAGGAGGCCUUACCCCGUAACUGCUUCAAGGUUUGUGUGACUAUGGGGAAGUCUGUGAGUUUGGCUGGCCCAAAGCAGUGGCCCCUGGCUAUGCCCUUUGGUGGGUGUGUGGGAAAUACUGUCAGUGAAAUGGGGGGCUCUCCAUUCACCAUGUCACUGUGUGGAGCAACCCCACAGCCAUCUCACUGUGACCUCUGUCACUGUCCCCACUCAGGACAACUAAUGCCUUCUGUGCAUGCACCCUUCUACGCCAUGGGGCCCAGGGGGCUGAGUUCUCACCUGCCACCACCCUCCUCUGUGCCUGGAAAUCCCAGGUCUACCCCAAACCCUAUGACACCUGGUGGUUGCAUCCAUGCCCCUGGGUCAUGAAGUCUUUGUGCACUUGCCUUCAUCCCUCUGUGGUGGCUGUUCCUGGGACACGGGCUGAAGGACAGCAGCUAAACUGUCCUCCUGGCGGUUACCCUCCUCUGUCCUGUCCUCAUUGACGCGCACCCGGUCUGCACAGCUGCCCCUUGGCACCCCCACCCCCAUCCAAUGACGACAGAAGUCACACCUCUCCACCAAGCCUUGCCUGAGCGGCCCGAGUAUGAGCCUCAGAUGGGUCCUGAGGCUCCAAGCCCUGGGGGAUUUGGGCACCAGCGAGAGUGGACAGCUGGAAGGCAGUUUGCCUCUCCUUCCCUGCCUUGUCAGCACCGAGCAGUGGCCCGGGGUUCUGCUGAGUCAGUGUGGCUAGGCUGGGUCUUGGCUCUGCGGCACCUGCCUGGGCCGGUCCCCUGAUGGAGGCUCUUCUCGCUUCAUUUCAAAUUUCACCCUGUGUAAUGCUGUACCCCACCCUGUGUUUAUCACCCUGCCUUUCUGUGCAUCCCAUGGGUGCAGGUGUCCACGGGGGAGGAGGGAGAGAGGAGGGGACCCCACAGGGCUAGGAAGGAGGAGGCCGGCUCAGUCCACAGAGGGGUGGUUUCGUUUUCACCUUGUAGGACAGCUCUGGACCCCUAGAUACAGUCUCAGCCUCCCGCUGACUGCCAGGAUGGCAGUCACCCCAGCCAUGGUCUCCACUCCUGGGCUCCUCCUCCCUGCACCCAUUUGUAGUCUGUUACAGAGAACCCGUGAGGAGCGCUGCCCCUGAGUCCCAGGGCCAGCACCCCUGAGUCCCAGGGCCAGCACCCCUGUAGUGCACAUCUCACAGUAUACUGCAGAGUCCCGAGGGGAAGUGUGUUGGACCCCAUUCCUGCUCCAGAAGUCCAGUGGGGACCUGGCCAGAGGUGUGGCUCCACUGUGGGAGAGCAAGCCAUGCAUGCUGGGAGCAGGGGUUCGUCUCCAGCUGUAAACACCAGGCUAUGCAACACUGACCUAUAAUCCUAGCUUGCCAGAGGCAGGAGAAUCAGAGGUUUGAGGUAAUUUUCUUUUCUUUUUUUAAAGAUUUAUUUAUUAUGUGUACAGUGUUCUGUCUGCAUGUACACCUGCAGGCCAGAAGAGGGCACCAGAUCUCAUUACAGAUGGUUGUGAGUUACCAUGUGGUUGCUGGGAAUGAACUCAGGACCUCUGGAAGGGCAGCCUUUAACCUCUGAGUCAUCUCUCCACGAGGUCUUUUUCAAACGCGCAGUUAAGAGUUCAAGGCCAACCUGGGCUACCUGAGACUUCCUCCAGGGUUGUCAUGCUCCGUGGAAGGGAGGAGUAACCAUUUGUAUCAUGGGUAAUAUGUCCUGUGAACUUCUAGGUUGUCACAAAAUGGUCUGAAGAAGUGUUUUCCAUUUUCUUAUCUGCUAGUUGGGUCACCCUGGUGGCUGAAGGCACCUGUCAGCAGUCAUGGGCUAGUGAUGGGACCCAGCAGGACUUGGUUACAGGGUGAAUGGGAGCUGGAGAUCUGAGCCCCUCGAGCCUCAGUUUCCACAUCUUUGGCAUGGGAUGAAGGUGGAGUGCCUUCCCAUUUGACCAUGCUGGCUGAGAUAAUUUAAGGAAAGUCACUGACUCAUGGAGACCCUCCUUGUCCAGUAGCUCCUCCCUUACCCUCUGCUGGGACCACAUAUGUGACCCGGGCCUUGGAAGUAAUAGAAAAGGAAGAAUGUCCCCCUGCUGUGAAAUAUUUAACUAUGCAAAGAUGUGUUGCAUUUAAUCAUGUAAAGAUGUGUUACUAUGGUUUAUCCUGUGGAAUGUUACUUUAACUGUGUAAAGGUUGUUACAUUUGUUUCUGCUGUGGAAUGUUACUUUAACUGUGUAAAGGUUGUUACAUUUGUUUC
RNA transcript from Alexandromys fortis (reed vole), 9041 nucleotides. It is a transcript of the gene named F-box protein 21, with no coding region annotated. NCBI's taxonomy places the organism in Eukaryota, Metazoa, Chordata, Mammalia, Rodentia, Cricetidae. The record is from RefSeq and is a predicted model, not a curated record. The transcript is spliced from 15 exons.